GCGGCCCCCGCGGUACGGGAGAAUGGUUGGGUCCAGGCACUUGAACCUGCUGAGGCAGGCGGGGAAACCUUGUAUCAUCGGGCGUUGGUGGUAUAGUGGUUAGCAUAGCUGCCUUCCAAGCAGUUGACCCGGGUUCGAUUCCCGGCCAACGCAGCGUUUUCUUUUCUUUGUUUCAAUUUUCCCCCCCCGCGAUUCCAAAGCUGAUUCUGAAAGGGGCUGUAAGCGGAGCGCCCUGCCCGGCUGCGUGCUGCCCUCCCCAACCCCGGCGGUCGCCGGCCUAGACGCAGCGGGAUGCGGGCGCUGCGGCACGUGGUGCCGUUACUUCUCUCACAAGCAGUCGACGGGGAAGCGGCGGAGAAAUAAAUAUAAACCGAAGGGGAAAAAGUAGACACCGGAAAAAAAAAAAACUUAGGUGUUUCCGCCCGGGAUCGAACCGGGGACCUUUCGCGUGUGAGGCGAACGUGAUAACCGCUACACUACGGAAACCCGCCCUGCUUCGACUUUUCGAGCGGCGCCCCAUGUUGCUGCGGCGGCUGAGAGGAUGGCUCCAUCUCUCGGUGAGCCCCUUCCUCGCCUCACGGCAACCUCGAACAAAACCUACCCCAAACGCUGAGAAACGCCGCGCGGCAUUCCAGACCUCAUGCAGUCUGAUGAUUGGUGCAGAAAGGAGAGCUGCAGACCAGACAGCCCCAGGAAGGAAGCUCUUGGAAGGCCCCCGUCCACACUGCAGUCAAGACUGGAGGUACACAGAUGUCAAAAGCAGUUUACCUGUCGUAGCACAGAAAUCGGCGUUACCUGAUUUGUUCUGCUGCGUUACUCCGCUCACUUACGCCUCUGGUGCCUCUCCCUGCACAUGGCGCAAUAGGGAGACAGAAGAGGCAAGACUCCAGCCCUAACAGAAAACUUACAGAUGCGGUCCCU
Molecule: long non-coding RNA, 921 nt
Organism: Chroicocephalus ridibundus (black-headed gull)
Lineage: Eukaryota; Metazoa; Chordata; Aves; Charadriiformes; Laridae
Exons: 3
Source: RefSeq, a predicted model, not a curated record